RNAcentral lists this small RNA (634 nucleotides) under Pongo abelii (Sumatran orangutan). RNAcentral describes it as "processed transcript". The record is from RNAcentral. Lineage: Eukaryota; Metazoa; Chordata; Mammalia; Primates; Hominidae.
ACACUCUAUGAACUUCGGUGUUCCUUACAGUUAGCGGAAACGGAAAGAGAAGGAGGAUUUUCUCCACACAUUUCUCCUUUCACUGCUGUCAAUGACCUGGGACAUCUGCUUGGGAGAGCUGGCUUUAAUACUCUGACUGUGGGAAAAGCUCUGAUUGGCAAUGUUUAGUUUGUAUAACACAUCUUAAUUGACACAAGGACACUGAUGAAAUUCAAGUUAACUAUCCUGGAAUGUUUGAAUUGAUGGAAGAUUUACAAGAAAAAAAGUCCAGAAUGUUGACCUAAUUUUACAAAACAAGCUGCAUAUCAGCUGAUGAAUGCAUGAGAAAUUUUCAAGGCUUUCACAGUGGUCUUAAGGUAUGGGUGAGAGUAACUGUUCUUGGAAUAGAAAAGCCCUGCUGCAUCGAGACACAAUGCUGGCAGCUGCGGCGGUGUACAGAGAAAUGUACAGAAAUGAAGAUGGUUCAGUACCUGCCACAUAUCAGAUCUAUUACAUGAUAGGAUGGAAAUAUCAUGAGUCACAGGCAAGACCAGCUGAAAGAGGCUCCGCAACUGUGUCAUUUGGAGAGCUAGGAAAAAUAAACAACCUUAUGCCACAGGGGAAUAAAUCACAAUAAAUAUUUAUUCAAUGUUAA